This 253-nucleotide ribosomal RNA is filed under the name uncultured bacterium. Its description in RNAcentral is "partial 16S ribosomal RNA". It matches the Rfam family "Bacterial small subunit ribosomal RNA", at positions 524 to 776 of the family's 1533-position model. The record is from RNAcentral.
UACGUAGGUGGCAAGCGUUGUCCGGAUUUACUGGGCGUAAAGGGUGCGUAGGCGGACAUUUAAGUCAGAUGUGAAAUACCCGAGCUUAACUUGGGUGCUGCAUUUGAAACUGGGUGUCUAGAGUGCAGGAGAGGUAAGUGGAAUUCCUAGUGUAGCGGUGAAAUGCGUAGAGAUUAGGAAGAACACCAGUGGCGAAGGCGACUUACUGGACUGUAACUGACGCUGAGGCAUGAAAGCGUGGGGAGCAAACGGG